This 484-nucleotide ribosomal RNA is filed under the name uncultured bacterium. RNAcentral describes it as "partial 16S ribosomal RNA". It matches the Rfam family "Bacterial small subunit ribosomal RNA", at positions 28 to 523 of the family's 1533-position model. The record is from RNAcentral.
GAUGAACGCUGGCGGCGUGCUUAACACAUGCAAGUCGAACGGUGAAGCAGGAGCUUGCUCUUGUGGAUCAGUGGCGAACGGGUGAGUAACACGUGAGCAACCUGCCCCUGACUCUGGGAUAAGCGCUGGAAACGGCGUCUAAUACUGGAUAUGUGAUGUGACCGCAUGGUCUGCAUCUGGAAAGAAUUUCGGUUGGGGAUGGGCUCGCGGCCUAUCAGCUUGUUGGUGAGGUAAUGGCUCACCAAGGCGUCGACGGGUAGCCGGCCUGGGAGGGUGACCGGCCACACUGGGACUGAGCCACGGCCCAGACUCCUACGGGAGGCAGCAGUGGGGAAGAUUGCACAAUGGGCGGAAGCCUGAUGCAGCAACGCCGCGUGAGGGAUGACGGCCUUCGGGUUGUAAACCUCUUUUAGCAGGGAAGAAGCGAAAGUGACGGUACCUGCAGAAAAAGCACCGGCUAACUACGUGCCAGCCGCCGCGGUAA